AACGUACGCUGGCGGCACGCUUAACACAUGCAAGUCGAACGAAGUAGCAAUACUUAGUGGCAGACGGGUGAGUAACAUGUGGGUAUCUGCCCUUUGGCCUGGAAUAACACGAGGAAACUUGUGCUAAUACCGGAUAAGUCUUUACGGAGAAAGCUUUAUGCACCAUUGGAUGAGCCCGCACUUGAUUAGUUUGUUGGUGGGGUAAUGGCCUACCAAGACUGUGAUCAAUAGCUGAUUUGAGAGGAUGAUCAGCCACAUUGGGACUGAGACACGGCCCAAACUCCUACGGGAGGCAGCAGUGGGGAAUCCUGCACAAUGGAGGAAACUCUGAUGCAGCGAUGCCGCGUGAGUGAAGAAGGCCCUUGGGUUGUAAAGCUCUUUCGUCGGGGAAGAAAAUGACUGUACCCGAAUAAGAAGGUCCGGCUAACUUCGUGCCAGCAGCCGCGGUAAUACGAAGGGACCUAGCGUAGUUCGGAAUUACUGGGCUUAAAGAGUUCGUAGGUGGUUGAAAAAGUUAGUGGUGAAAUCCCAGAGCUUAACUCUGGAACUGCCAUUAAAACUUUUCAGCUAGAGUAUGAUAGAGGAAAGCAGAAUUUCUAGUGUAGAGGUGAAAUUCGUAGAUAUUAGAAAGAAUACCAAUUGCGAAGGCAGCUUUCUGGAUCAUUACUGACACUGAGGAACGAAAGCAUGGGUAGCGAAGAGGAUUAGAUACCCUCGUAGUCCAUGCCGUAAACGAUGUGUGUUAGACGUUGGAAAUUUAUUUUCAGUGUCGCAGCGAAAGCGAUAAACACACCGCCUGGGGAGUACGACCGCAAGGUUAAAACUCAAAUGAAUUGACGGGGACCCGCACAAGUAGUGGAGCAUGUGGUUUAAUUCGAAGAUACGCGCAGAACCUUACCAACACUUGACAUGUUCGUCGCGACUCUAAGAGAUUAGAGUUUUCGGUUCGGCCGGACGAAACACAGGUGCUGCAUGGCUGUCGUCAGCUCGUGUCGUGAGAUGUUGGGUUAAGUCCCGCAACGAGCGCAACCCUCACUUUUAGUUGCCAUCAUUAAGUUGGGCACUCUGAAAGAACUGCCAGUGAUAAGCUGGAGGAAGGUGGGGAUGACGUCAAGUCCUCAUGGCCCUUACGUGUUGGGCUACACACGUGCUACAAUGGUAUCUACAACAGGAAGCAAGACUGCGAGGUCAAGCAAAUCCUUAAAAGAUACCUCAGUUCGGAUUGCGCUCUGCAACUCGAGUGCGUGAAGCUGGAAUUACUAGUAAUCGUGGAUCAGCGUGCCACGGUGAAAUGCGUUUCCCGGGUCU
Molecule: ribosomal RNA, 1308 nt
Filed under: uncultured bacterium
Lineage: Bacteria
Description: bacterial SSU rRNA
Rfam family: Bacterial small subunit ribosomal RNA
Source: RNAcentral